This 375-nucleotide RNase P RNA is filed under the name Bacteroidales bacterium. RNAcentral's name for it is "RNase P RNA component class A". It matches the Rfam family "Bacterial RNase P class A". From Rfam's summary of the family: Ribonuclease P (RNase P) is a ubiquitous endoribonuclease, found in archaea, bacteria and eukarya as well as chloroplasts and mitochondria. The record is from RNAcentral. Lineage: Bacteria; Pseudomonadati; Bacteroidota; Bacteroidia; Bacteroidales.
GCAGCAGGCUGUUCCAUCGCCAUGCCAACAGCGUGGAGGAAAGUCCGGGCAACACAGAGCACCAUACUUCUUAACGGGAAGAUAUCUGCAAGGGUAUAGUAGUGUAACAGAAAAUAACCGUCAUGCUUAUGGCGUGAUAAGGGUGAAAAGGUGAGGUAAGAGCUUACCGGUCCUGGUGGCAACAUCCGGAGUCGUACACCUUAUGAGUUGAAAGACCAUGUAUACCGGCGAGUAGGGCUGCUCGUCCGAUGCCGGGGGGUGGGUCGUAGGAGCACGGUAGCGAUACCGGGCCUAGAUAAAUGAUGGAAACCGGUUUUAAUUUCUUUCGCAGAAACCAAAACCGUACAGAAUCCGGCUUACAGGCCAGCUGCUUAA